This 633-nucleotide ribosomal RNA is filed under the name Sphaerophorus globosus. Its description in RNAcentral is "LSU rRNA". It matches the Rfam family "Eukaryotic large subunit ribosomal RNA", at positions 1 to 648 of the family's 3401-position model. Lineage: Eukaryota; Fungi; Ascomycota; Lecanoromycetes; Lecanorales; Sphaerophoraceae. The record is from RNAcentral.
GAUUGACCUCGGAUCAGGUAGGGAUACCCGCUGAACUUAAGCAUAUCAAUAAGCGGAGGAAAAGAAACCAACAGGGAUUGCCUCAGUAACGGCGAGUGAAGCGGCAACAGCUCAAAUUUGAAAUCUGGCUCCUUCGGGGCCCGAGUUGUAAUUUGUAGAGGACGUUUCGGGUGCGGCCCGGUCUAAGUCCCUUGGAACAGGGCGUCAUAGAGGGUGAGAAUCCCGUAUGUGACCGGUGACCAACCCCAUGUGAAACCCCUUCGACGAGUCGAGUUGUUUGGGAAUGCAGCUCAAAAUGGGUGGUAAAUUCCAUCUAAAGCUAAAUACUGGCCAGAGACCGAUAGCGCACAAGUAGAGUGAUCGAAAGAUGAAAAGCACUUUGGAAAGAGAGUCAAACAGUACGUGAAAUUGUUGAAAGGGAAGCGCUGGCAACCAGACCUGCCCCGGGCGAUCAGCGGGUGUUCUCACCCGUGCACUCGCCCGCGAUCAGGCCAGCAUCGGUUUCGGCGGUCGGAUACAGACCCGGGGAACGUGGCUCUCUUCGGGGAGUGUUAUAGCCCCGGGUGCAAUGCGGCCAGCCGGGACCGAGGACCGCGCUUCGGCUAGGAUGCUGGCGUAAUGGUUGUCAGCGAC